This is a non-coding RNA of Heterocephalus glaber (naked mole-rat), 1864 nucleotides long. The record is from RefSeq and is a predicted model, not a curated record. Lineage: Eukaryota; Metazoa; Chordata; Mammalia; Rodentia; Bathyergidae.
AGAGAAGGUAAGGGCUUUGUGUGCCGCUGUGGACCCGGACGCACUGCGCUCCCUUUGCCUUGUCUGACUGCGUCGCUAGCCCCACUGAGGCACAAGGGGUGGGCGUGGGGACUCCGAGAGGGGCAGCGGGUCACCUGGGGUCUUUGUGAAAUACGUUUCUCCCUUUUCUUCUCCCUUCCAUUUUGCCUGACUAGGAUUAGCGUUUGGGGCUUCGAUCAGACUGGGCAAAUGGCACAGUAAGGACGGGUGGGUGAAGCAGCACGCAGCCCAAGAAGGGUCGCGGUCUACCUCUGGGGGGGGGCUUCCCUCACAGCCGUCUCCCCACCGCGGGCAGGUGGUGGGCAGUGCUGGAACCUGCACACAGGAGGCGUGAUGAGCUCGAGGUUGUGAGGGGAGGCACGGGGGAGGCGCGUGGAGGGAGAAGAGGGCAAGUGAGAGGCUGAGGGGCAGCAAGGAGAUGGGGCGCGGCGUGUACUUUAUGGCCAGUAUUCAUAAUGGUCAGGCCUCGAGAACUGGAUUACUGCUUCCCCGGGACAUUCCACAGUUUACCAUUUUCUUAGCUGCCCACCACCCACAGUGAAUCAGUAACCCUCUGCAGGAGCUCUAGGCGGGAUUCAAUUGAUGUAUCCCUGCCUUGUGGUGGGCUUAUUUGUCCUUAACCUCUGCAGUGCCCGGAGCCCCCCCGCAUCUCCUGUGGCUGUGUAACCUUCUUUCCAGGAGACCGAGUGUGGAAAAUGCGGCUGGAUAACGGCUAGCAAGUUAAUGGUCUUUCAGAGCUGCGACAGAUGAGUGGGCAACUUGGAACACAGCCCGAGUGUGGGCGUGGCAACAACUCACCAGGCCUAGGGAGCCUCAGCUUCUGCCUUCUGAGCUCCUGCUUGCCUACAAGUGUUUUCCUCCUCUUAAGGCGACAUAUGGUUGUUAUCUAAUAUGGAAUACAUUUUAAGAGGCAAAUGAACCUUUCAAAAUGUCACUUGAAUGAGGAGGCAGGAGUAUCCAAACCUGGUGUCUGAAUACCACAGGUUAUGUAGUGCUAAUGUAAUCAACAAAGGUCAUUCUUUCCUUUGGCGUUCAAAACCCUUCAUGAUUCCAGUGCCUACCUACCUCUGUCCUCCUUUGGACCUGGGCCACCUUAAAUUAUCUACCCAUCUUUGCAGCAAACAGCUCCUGGUUUCCACAUGUCACAGGCAUUCUCAGAACCUGUGUGACUCAGGUGGAGCUCCAUGCCUCUUGGACAUCCCUGCAUUACCCCUGAUGAUUUUUACCCAAAUCCUGGUCCAACUGAUUUGCACCCUUAUGGAAAUCUGAAUUAGUUUUAUCUUCAUGGUACUUUGUAUUGCGUUGUUGACAUUUGUUUCAGUCUUAUCUGUGAUAUUCGUCUUUAUUCUGUACCUGGCACUUUAUACCUAGAAAGUACACAAAGGAUGUUUUAUUUGAAAAAUGUGAAUAAAUGAGGGCAUGGGUGAUAGCAUGCAUACAUCUUUCCUUUCUGUAGAAAAAGAAUAGAGCUUUUCUAAGAGCCCUGUGUGGAUUCGUUGCAGUUGUGAAAAUGAAGUCUCCUGUGUGUGACAGACCGAAGCUUUUCCUGUUGCUCAUUGAGUAAGAGACCUUAAAAGGAUCACUGAGAGUGUCUAGUACCAAGACAUUCAGAAAGUGUUUUUAAUUUUCAGAAUUUUCAUUAGUACAUGUUUGCAGUGCAUAAUGAUUAUACUUGUUGUGGGGAGUUGUAAUACAUCGAAUUUUUUUUACAUCCCCUUAGGAAAAAGUUUGUUGAAGAGCUCCUUUGUCAGCCCCACAUUUCAAACUCUAUGGGCAGCAUAUGCAAUGGAUUAAUCCAAGUGAAUAAAAAAUGAUUUUCAUCUUU